Molecule: ribosomal RNA, 443 nt
Filed under: uncultured bacterium
Lineage: Bacteria
Description: partial 16S ribosomal RNA
Rfam family: Bacterial small subunit ribosomal RNA
Source: RNAcentral
CCUACGGGAGGCUGCAGUGGGGAAUAUUGGGCAAUGGGCGCAAGCCUGACCCAGCAACGCCGCGUGAAGGAAGAAGGCUUUCGGGUUGUAAACUUCUUUUCUGAGGGACGAAGAAAGUGACGGUACCUCAGGAAUAAGCCACGGCUAACUACGUGCCAGCAGCCGCGGUCAUACGUAGGUGGCAAGCGUUAUCCGGAUUUAUUGGGUGUAAAGGGCGUGUAGGCGGGAAAGCAAGUCAGAUGUGAAAACUCAGGGCUCAACCCUGAGCCUUCAUUUGACAUUGUUUUUCUUGAGUUCUGGAGAGGCAAUCGGAAGUCCGUGUGUAGCGGUGAAAUGCGUAGAUAGACGGAGGAACACCAGUGGCGAAGGCGGAUUGCUGGACAGUAACUGACGCUGAGGCGCGAAAGCGUGGGGAGCAAACAGGAUUAGAUACCCGAGUAGUC